RNAcentral lists this long non-coding RNA (232 nucleotides) under Elaeis guineensis (African oil palm). RNAcentral describes it as "long non-coding RNA (EGUI_LNC033478)". Lineage: Eukaryota; Viridiplantae; Streptophyta; Magnoliopsida; Arecales; Arecaceae. The record is from RNAcentral.
GAAUCAUGACCAACUUGGACUGGAUAAACCUCCUCUUCGGAGUCAAUGCUUGGAUUCUUAAGGUGCUCAAUGAAGAUCCUUCCUAGUUUGCCGCAUCCAGAGAUAGCAAGUCAAGACAAAGAAUCAGCUCGGACAUUCUCCAAGUAGAGGAUAUGGAAGAUCUCAAAAUAGUCAAAAUAUGCUUGUAAAGAUUUGAGCUUUUAUAGAUACCUAAUAAGGAUAAGGUCUUGGG